CCCUUAGAUGUUCUGGGCCGCACGCGCGCUACACUGUUCGACGCAGCGAGUCUUAACCUUGACCGAAAGGUUUGGGUAAUCUUCAGCAAAGUCGAACGUGAUGGGGAUCGAUCAUUGCAAUUAUUGAUCGUGAACGAGGAAUUCCUAGUAAGUGCAAGUCAUCAGCUUGCGCUGAUUACGUCCCUGCCCUUUGUACACACCGCCCGUCGCUACUACCGAUUGAAUGGUUUAGUGAGAUCUCUGGAUUGACGCUGGCUAGGGGGCGACCCUUGGCCAGACGGUUGAGAAACUGCUCAAACUUGAUCAUUUAGAGGAAGUAAAAGUCGUAACA
This 331-nucleotide ribosomal RNA is filed under the name uncultured eukaryote. RNAcentral's name for it is "partial 18S ribosomal RNA". It matches the Rfam family "Eukaryotic small subunit ribosomal RNA", at positions 1470 to 1796 of the family's 1831-position model. The record is from RNAcentral.